UAAAGAUUCAUCGCUGAUAGAUAGGCAUGCGUUCCAUUAGGCAGUUGGCGGGGUAACGGCCCACCAAACCGACGAUGGAUAGGGGUUCUGAGAGGAAGGUCCCCCACAUUGGUACUGAGACACGGACCAAACUCCUACGGGAGGCAGCAGUGAGGAAUAUUGGUCAAUGGGCGCGAGCCUGAACCAGCCAAGUCGCGUGAGGGAUGAAGGUUCUAUGGAUCGUAAACCUCUUUUAUAAGGGAAUAAAGUGUGGGACGUGUCCUAUUUUGUAUGUACCAUAUGAAUAAGGAUCGGCUAACUCCGUGCCAGCAGCCGCGGUAAUACGGAGGAUCCGAGCGUUAUCCGGAUUUAUUGGGUUUAAAGGGUGCGUAGGCGGCCUUUUAAGUCAGCGGUGAAAGUCUGUGGCUCAACCAUAGAAUUGCCGUUGAAACUGGGGGGCUUGAGUAUGUUUGAGGCAGGCGGAAUGCGUGGUGUAGCGGUGAAAUGCUUAGAUAUCACGCAGAACCCCGAUUGCGAAGGCAGCCUGCCAAGCCAUGACUGACGCUGAUGCACGAAAGCGUGGGGAUCAAACAGGAUUAGAUACCCUGGUAGUCCACGCAGUAAACGAUGAUCACUAGCUGUUUGCGAUACAGUGUAA
RNAcentral lists this ribosomal RNA (637 nucleotides) under uncultured bacterium. RNAcentral's name for it is "bacterial SSU rRNA". It matches the Rfam family "Bacterial small subunit ribosomal RNA", at positions 202 to 842 of the family's 1533-position model. The record is from RNAcentral.